RNAcentral lists this ribosomal RNA (291 nucleotides) under uncultured bacterium. Its description in RNAcentral is "partial 16S ribosomal RNA". The record is from RNAcentral.
GGACUACCGGGGUAUCUAAUCCUGUUUGCUCCCCACGCUUUCGCGCCUCAGCGUCAGUUACAGUCCAGAGAGCCGCCUUCGCCACUGGUGUUCCUCCACAUCUCUACGCAUUUCACCGCUACACGUGGAAUUCCGCUCUCCUCUUCUGCACUCAAGUUCUCCAGUUUCCCAUGCAAACACGGGUUGAGCCCGUGCCUUAGACACCAGACUUAAAGAACCGCCUGCGCGCGCUUUACGCCCAAUAAUUCCGGACAACGCUUGCCCCCUACGUAUUACCGCGGCUGCUGGCAC